This is a long non-coding RNA of Oncorhynchus nerka (sockeye salmon), 265 nucleotides long. RefSeq lists it as uncharacterized. The transcript has 2 exons. The record is from RefSeq and is a predicted model, not a curated record. Lineage: Eukaryota; Metazoa; Chordata; Actinopteri; Salmoniformes; Salmonidae.
GCCUGGCCCCUUCUGGCACUACCACAGAGACUUAAUCAGAGAGACUCUAUCUGUAAUCCCGGACUGCAGCAGACUGGACCUGGAUCAGACUGGAGUGUGACUCAGACUGUGUGUGUGUGCGUGUGUGUGUGUGUGUGUGCGUGUGUGUGAGAACAUCUCUGAACACGUGGAAGCAACGAAGAAGAGGACAAUGAUUAAGUGUUUAUCUGACUGUUAAUACUUUUGCGCCUUUUUUUUUCUACAAAUAAACAUAAUUUUAACAUAA